RNAcentral lists this ribosomal RNA (406 nucleotides) under uncultured bacterium. RNAcentral's name for it is "partial 16S ribosomal RNA". It matches the Rfam family "Bacterial small subunit ribosomal RNA", at positions 30 to 526 of the family's 1533-position model. The record is from RNAcentral.
AUUGAACGCUGGCGGCAGGCCUAACACAUGCAAGUCGAACGAGUGGCGGACGGGUGAGUAAUGUCUGGGAAACUGCCUGAUGGAGGGGGAUAACUACUGGAAACGGUAGCUAAUACCGCAUACCAUCGGAUGUGCCCAGAUGGGAGUAGCUAGUAGGUGGGGUAAAGGCUCACCUAGGCGACGAUCCCUAGCCGGUCUGAGAGGAUGACCAGCCCACCUGGAACUGAGACACGGUCCAGACUCCUACGGGAGGCAGCAUGGGGGAAUAUUGCACAAGGGGCGCAAGCCUGAUGCAGCCAUGCCGCUUGGAUGAAGAGGGCCUUCGGGUUGUAAAGUACUUUCAGCGGGGAGGCGUUACCCGCAGAAGAAGCAACGGCUAACUCCGUGCCAGCAGCCGCGGUAAUAC